CGAACGGAGAAUUGCUAGCUUGCUAAUAAUUCUCUAGUGGCGCACGGGUGAGUAACACGUGAGUACCUGCCCCCAAGAGUGGGAUAGCCCCGGGAAACUGGGAUUAAUACCGCAUAAAGCAAUAAAGCAGCAAUGCGCUUGGGGAUGGGCUCGCGUCCUAUUAGUUAGUUGGUGAGGUAACGGCUCACCAAGGCGAUGACGGGUAGCCGGUCUGAGAGGAUGUCCGGCCACACUGGAACUGAGACACGGUCCAGACACCUACGGGUGGCAGCAGUCGAGAAUCAUUCACAAUGGGGGAAACCCUGAUGGUGCGACGCCGCGUGGGGGAUAAGGUCUUCGGAUUGUAAACCCCUGUCAUGUGGGACAUUAAAAGAUAGUACCACAAGAGGAAGAGACGGCUAACUCUGUGCCAGCAGCCGCGGUAAUACAGAGGUCUCAAGCGUUGUUCGGAAUCACUGGGCGUAAAGCGUGCGUAGGCGGUUUCGUAAGUCGUGUGUGAAAGGCGGGGGCUCAACCCCCGGACUGCACAUGAUACUGCGAGACUAGAGUAAUGGAGGGGGAACCGGAAUUCUCGGUGUAGCAGUGAAAUGCGUAGAUAUCGAGAGGAACACUCGUGGCGAAGGCGGGUUCCUGGACAUUAACUGACGCUGAGGCACGAAGGCCAGGGGAGCGAAAG
Molecule: ribosomal RNA, 676 nt
Filed under: uncultured bacterium
Lineage: Bacteria
Description: bacterial SSU rRNA
Rfam family: Bacterial small subunit ribosomal RNA
Source: RNAcentral